CACUGAAGGAGUAACAUGCUGGAGCAUU
This 28-nucleotide non-coding RNA is filed under the name Cricetulus griseus (Chinese hamster). The record is from RNAcentral. Lineage: Eukaryota; Metazoa; Chordata; Mammalia; Rodentia; Cricetidae.